RNAcentral lists this ribosomal RNA (380 nucleotides) under uncultured bacterium. RNAcentral's name for it is "bacterial SSU rRNA". It matches the Rfam family "Bacterial small subunit ribosomal RNA", at positions 30 to 412 of the family's 1533-position model. The record is from RNAcentral.
AUUGAACGCUGGCGGAAUGCUUUACACAUGCAAGUCGAGCGGCAGCGCGGGGCAACCUGGCGGCGAGCGGCGAACGGGUGAGUAACAUAUCGGAACGUAUCCUUAAGUGGGGGACAACCUAGCGAAAGUUAGGCUAAUACCGCAUACGCAGGGAACUGGAAAGGUGGGGGAUCGCAAGACCUCACGCUUUUGGAGCGGCCGAUAUCAGAUUAGCUUGUUGGUGAGGAAAGGCUCACCAAGGCGACGAUCUGUAGCUGGUCUGAGAGGAUGAUCAGCCACACUGGGACUGAGACACGGCCCAGACUCCUACGGGAGGCAGCAGGUGGGAAUUUUGGACAAUGGGGGCAACCCUGAUCCAGCCAUUCCGCGUGAGUGAAGAA